GCUCAGAUUGAACGCUAGCGGGAUGCCUUACACAUGCAAGUCGAACGGCAGCACGGACUUCGGUCUGGUGGCGAGUGGCGAACGGGUGAGUAAUGUAUCGGAACGUGCCUAGUAGCGGGGGAUAACUACGCGAAAGCGUAGCUAAUACCGCAUACGCCCUACGGGGGAAAGCAGGGGAUCGCAAGACCUUGCACUAUUAGAGCGGCCGAUAUCGGAUUAGCUAGUUGGUGGGGUAACGGCUCACCAAGGCGACGAUCCGUAGCUGGUUUGAGAGGACGACCAGCCACACUGGGACUGAGACACGGCCCAGACUCCUACGGGAGGCAGCAGUGGGGAAUUUUGGACAAUGGGGGAAACCCUGAUCCAGCCAUCCCGCGUGUGCGAUGAAGGCCUUCGGGUUGUAAAGCACUUUUGGCAGGAAAGAAACGUUCCGGGUUAAUACCCCGGGAAACUGACGGUACCUGCAGAAUAAGCACCGGCUAACUACGUGCCAGCAGCCGCGGUAAUACGUAGGGUGCAAGCGUUAAUCGGAAUUACUGGGCGUAAAGCGUGCGCAGGCGGUUCGGAAAGAAAGAUGUGAAAUCCCAGAGCUUAACUUUGGAACUGCAUUUUUAACUACCGAGCUAGAGUGUGUCAGAGGGAGGUGGAAUUCCGCGUGUAGCAGUGAAAUGCGUAGAUAUGCGGAGGAACACCGAUGGCGAAGGCAGCCUCCUGGGAUAACACUGACGCUC
RNAcentral lists this ribosomal RNA (731 nucleotides) under Achromobacter sp. 111117_136_C_B3. Its description in RNAcentral is "bacterial SSU rRNA". It matches the Rfam family "Bacterial small subunit ribosomal RNA", at positions 22 to 748 of the family's 1533-position model. The record is from RNAcentral. RNAcentral also lists the same sequence under 2 other names. Lineage: Bacteria; Pseudomonadati; Pseudomonadota; Betaproteobacteria; Burkholderiales; Alcaligenaceae.